AAAGNNNNCCCUCCGUCCCAAAAUUCUUGUCUGAUAUUUGUUUAGAUACAAAUGUAUCUAGUGAGAUUUAGUAUUUAGAUACAUCCAUUUCUAGACAAAGUUAAGACAAGAAUUUUAGGACGGAGGGAGUAUCAU
Hordeum vulgare subsp. vulgare (domesticated barley) is the source of this 135-nucleotide non-coding RNA. Lineage: Eukaryota; Viridiplantae; Streptophyta; Magnoliopsida; Poales; Poaceae. The record is from Rfam.